Molecule: long non-coding RNA, 1858 nt
Organism: Mus musculus (house mouse)
Lineage: Eukaryota; Metazoa; Chordata; Mammalia; Rodentia; Muridae
Product: predicted gene, 41708
Exons: 3
Source: RefSeq, a predicted model, not a curated record
GAGUUUGUGCAGUGACUGAGCCUGUCAGUGGGCCAGCUGGAAAGCCACUUCAGAUGGGGAUACUUUAUGUGUCUCGGGGGAACACUGCAGGAGCUCAAUAAGUGCACGUGCGAUUUGAAAAGCUGCCUCCAGCUUCUGCCACCUAUUUUACGGCCAUGGUGGACGGUCCCCUGGAACCGUGAGCUAAAAUAAGCCCCUACUUCCUUGACUUUCUUUUCCUUGGGUUGUUUUUGUCACAGCAGUUAGAAAAGUAACUACAGCAUGAAAACCAAGGUCUAAUUUUUUUCAGCCUAUAUAUAUAAGACUAAAAGGAAAGAGAGGUGGCACUCCCUCUAAGGGCUGAACAUUUGGUUCUGGCUUUGGAAGAGAGCACAGAAUGGGAUUUCCACUGGCUUCAUCCUCUCCAUUAGGCACAUUAACCUAGUUUUCUUCCUAAGAUUAUGGGGGCCAGAAAUAAGCCAUUUUUUUUCUUUUUCUCCUUCUAUGAAUUAUCUAACUCCAAGUAAGUAGUCUUCCACAGCAUACUAACAAACCCUAAGUGAGCCAGCUACUAGUGGGGAAAGUCCAAACUACAGUGAUGUUUACACCAUGUGGAGGCAAUGAGAGCAAGGUAGCCAUCACUGAAGACUCAGGACCUAAGUCUCCAGAGUAGAAUUGGAUCCAAAGGUUCCCCAGCUUCUGAGAUACAUGUGGUUAAUAUAGAGCAAUUGGACCUGGGCGGAGUACGGGCUAGCAUGCCAGGCAUAGUCAUGCUGUGGAGUUGGUUCUAUGACUAGCUAAUUACUUUUCAGCGAAGAUGACUACAUGUCUCCAUCCCAAACUGAGGUUUGCCCACCCGUGACAGAGAGGAAGGGAUGCUAACGGAAGCAGUCCCAGAGGGUUCUUGAGAUGAUCCCACAGAGUAACCACAUGGAAGAUUUAGCACAGUGGUUGCUAGACUACCAGAGGACUUUGAGUAGAAGAGAGAUCUAGAAUGAUUUCGUCUCUAGAAACUCAGCAAGAAGGCACAGGAGCUAUGACCUACACGACUAUUGGCGAUGCAAGACUGGAACUGAAGAGUCAAGGUCAAGUGCUGAGGGGAAGCUGAGCAUAUUCUCCACCAGCCGCAGCAUCCAGCCAGUAAUUAGUAUUCACGCGUGCAACGUAUUUGUGGUCUACCCCAGGAGUUCAGUAGCAAGAGCAUGAUUAGUUGGUGUCUUUGAACUCAAGAAGUAUGUGUGAGUUUUCUUUUGACAUCAAGUACUAGCUUUCAGAGAGCAAAGAACAUCCUUUCAGUCCCUUUAGAAACGGCUUGUAAGGUACAAGUUCUGACACCAUCUAUUUGAUCUGUGGGAAAAGGAAAGCCUGAUCCUCUGGGCAUUUCACAUUCAAUGCAAACGCCCUUCUUUUGUGUUUGAUGAUGGGGGCUUUUGAAAAGGAAUAUUUAAGAAGUUAACUCUAGUUAAUAAAAAGUGAAGUCACUAUAGAUGUAUGCCCAUGCUGAAGACAGGCACGCCUGCAGAAGCAGAGUUCCUGGAUCAGGAUUUCUGAGUGCUUGCUGUUUCUCAGCAACGUUGAACAAACAUUUUCUCUUUAGGAGUUGGCCUUAGUUUUUCAUAGACAAACUGAAGGGCUCCACUUUAAACCAUUUCUAAGUUCUUUGGCCUCAGUUUUUACUUACAGUGAUCCACUAAAGUCUUCUGUAGUUGUGCUGAUUUUGAAGAGUACCAUGCUGGCAAUGAUUCUAUACACACAGCAAAGACUAGCGUAAGUGAUCUGGGGCACUCUAGAUAGCCUAGGCUGUGAAGGGAGAAUGUGUAAUAUCCUCAGCAGAGUGAUCCUUAUAAGGAGGAGACAGUAUCUGCAAAAUAUUUGUGGC